CAACCCUCCACAUGCAGCCUCAUGAGUGCUGAAAGCAGAAGGCAGCUUCUUUCUGGGACCUGCUUGCUGGCUCUGAUGGUUAUUGCCACCGCAAAUUCACACAGCUGACUUCUGUUAAGCUGCACACAGUACCUUCUCCAGCUGUGCAGUUGUAAUUCAGCAGUGUCAUGAGUUGUCAUUUCUGCAUUAGUAAACAGGGUCUUAUACUGUUUCGCUACACUCACUUGGAACUUUUAAGUAACCACGUAACAGCUGGAAGAGAGGAGCGCUACCAUCCUACUCAGGCGUACACUAUGUUAUAGAUACUUUACUGAAAGCAUGUAUGCUACAACAAAUCUUUUGGUUAUGUGGAGGCCUGCAAAAGAAAAACGGAAGAACAGCUAAGCUUGCACGUCAGUGCUGAAUGAUUGAGCCCUUCAAAAGAGUCUGGCCCCAUAGCUGGGUUUUGCUGCUCUACGCUGCCCCACUGCUGAGCCCACUGUGGCUCCAGGGCAAAGAUGACUGCCAGCAAUUCUGGCUGCUUGCUGGAUGCCUCUAUAAAACUCUUUUGAAACCUCAAGUUUUGGUAUGUAUCCCUGAAUUCUUUGACCCUGAAGAAGCAGAGGGCUCUAUACAAAGCUACUUUGUGCAUUCUCCACCCCAUGCAAAGAAGACAAAUUGGUCACCUAGGAAGCGCGUGUUGAAAGGCAGAGAUUGACAUUAUGAAUUUGGAAUCCCCAUUAACAGCUUAUUUCUGUACUGACUUCUGCCACCUUUCUCCCCUUGGGUAACACCAACUAAGCCUGGACGUCAGAGUAGAUACAAGGCUGGCCUUUGCCUCCACGGAGGGACCAUUCACAGGACACAAAAUGGUCCUUUAGGUGAAAUCAGAAGGCUUGCAAGGUUUGGCUACAAACCUUGCAAGCCUUCAGAUAAAUGUAGUUCAAACAUUUUGAGAAAGGAGGCAACAUAUCUCAGCAAAUGGAUUUUUGUCCCCCUGGCAACUCCGAAUUCCUAUUUACUGUGGUUUAGGUUAAAAUGAGUGAGUGUUCUAGCAGGUUUCCUGUUUAUUAGAAGUUCCUCUGGUUUAAUUCCUCUUUUAUGAACAUCAAUUUGUAGAUACUUUCAAUCAAUCUGUACAAAUGCAGGAAAAUGUUUUUCAAGUACCCACUCUACCAGCUUUUCCUAGAAAAAGCUCUGUGUACCCUGCUUUCAUUUGCACUCUCCUAGCUCUGAAAACAGGAAGCCAUGUAAUUAAUGACUCAGGUGAAGACACUUGUUUGCUCAGUCUGAGAGAAUAUCUGUGUGCGGAUGAAUUAGAGAGCUCUGAAGCUGAAGGGAAAUUAAAAACAGAUGCCAAGCACACCUUCACCUGAACUGUUGUGCUGUAAUUAUAAUGGUUUUCAGCCAAUUUUUACCAGCAUUAUGAAUUAAAAUUGUUUAUGUUUCUCAGAGCUUUUACUAUGGAAGUUAAUAUAGCUCCUUAUAGGUAUUAGAAGUGAAUGUGAAAGUCCUAUAUGACAUCUUAUGCAGGAAAAAAAAAGUUAAAUAGAGUUCCUAAGAUCUGUCUU
Non-coding RNA from Zonotrichia albicollis (white-throated sparrow), 1550 nucleotides. The record is from RefSeq and is a predicted model, not a curated record. NCBI's taxonomy places the organism in Eukaryota, Metazoa, Chordata, Aves, Passeriformes, Passerellidae.